GUUUUCUGCUACGACUGGUCAACGUUUCUCCUUCGGCUGUGAAGUUUGUUCUCCUGCGCCUACCGUAGUUGUAGUAACAAACAUGGCGUCCGACAGUGACAGCGACGAGGAUUUUGUGAGUUACGGGACUCCUUUGGAGCCGCUGGAAGAAGACGAGCCGUUGAAGAAGCCGGUCCCGCUGCACGAGCAGACGGUGAAGGAUGAGAAGGGACGGUAUCAGAGGUUCCACGGGGCGUUCACUGGAGGGUUUUCGGCCGGUUAUUUCAACACUGUCGGCACUAAAGAAGGCUGGGCCCCGUCAACCUUUGUGUCAUCACGGCAACAGAAAGCGGACAAACUUCAUGCCAGACCAGAAGACUUCAUGGACGAGGAGGACCUCGGCGAGCACGGCAUCGCUCCCAGAGAGAUCACCACCAGCCAGGAGUUCUCGUCCAGUCGCAGAGACAAGGCCAGUGAGAAGGCGAGAGCCGUCAGCGCUCAGGCGGCGCUGAUCCCCGGAGACACUCUGCUGGAGGAGCUGAUCGCACCUGCCAGGUUGUCCAUAGGGGUGGAGCUGCUGAGGAGGAUGGGCUGGAAGGAAGGUCAGGGUGUCGGCCCUCGUGUGAAGAGGAAAGCUCGCCGACAGCAGACGGAUGGAGGUAGCAGAGUUUACGCCUGUGUGCUGCCCCCCGCUGGAUCAGAGGACUCACAGGACGAAGACGAUGAGGAGUUUGCUCCAGAGAACGUGACCUUUGCCCCGAAGGACGUGACUCCGGUGGACUUCAACCCCAGGCUGGGGGUUCAGGGUCUGGGGUACCGCGGCCUGGACCCCAGCCUGGCGCUGCAGGGCCGAGGAGCGCCCGAACACAUCAACCUGUUCAAGCCGCAGUCCGAGACCAGGAGCCGACUGUUCGGAGACGCGCAGGGAGGCCAGCGGAGAGGGGGCGUGGCGGGACAGGCGUUCGGGGUGGGCGCCCUGGAGGACGACGACGAAGACAUUUACCACAGAGACUCCAUGUCCAGGUACGACACGGAGCUGGGAGGAGAGGAGCCCGGAGACGGCCUGUACGGCUGGACGGCCCCACAGCAGUACACCAAGAAGAGAGACAAAAGCAAAGAUGCGUCGUACCUCGGCAAAAUCCUGGAGGGAUUCACUCUGGCUCAAAAACCGUCUGAGGAGAAAACGAUCUUCCCUCCGCCCUCUCUGCCCAGAGACUAUCGCCCCGUCCAUCGUUUCCGUCCUUCAGUCGAUGUUUCGCAUCUUUCCGGGGUCAGUCCUGCGCUGGCAGAGGCUCUGAGGGCCUCCAGGGGCCACAUGGUUAAAGAGGAGCCCCAACAAGGAGGACGCCACCAGCUGGACUCCGGCCAGAGGGGGGCGCUGCUGGGAGAAGACACCCUGCAAGGUCCCAGUUCAGUCAUGGAGCUGCUGAAGGCUGAAGACAGGGAGCGACUGCUCAACCUCCGCAACUCCACCAACGUGCUCUCCACCAAAACCACCACCAACCCCCCGCACUCCCAUGACGCCCCGCGGUCGUCGGGCAGGUGGGCCGCGACGUCCGCGCCCGCCUCCGGCCUCGAGCAGGAGGCUCUGGCCGUGUGGAAGGGCGUCCAGACCUCCUCACAGACCUUCAGACCGUUUGAGAAGAACCCCAGCAAACAGGCGCGCUACGAGCAGUACUUGAGCCGCCUGAAGCAGGGAGACAAAGACGCCCUGGAGCAGAGUCUGGACCCGGCGGUGACGGAGUGGGAGCGCAGCAGGGAGAGGGAGGAGUUCGCCCGAGCCUCCAUCCUGUACAGACCCACCUCCUCCUCGCUCUCCUCCCGCUUCACCAGCGCCAAACAGCAGGAGGAUGACGACAGCGUGGAGGUCAAGCGUGACGAGGAGGGCGACGUGGACGACAAACAGGCUGCCGUCAAUAUGAAGAUGUUCGGGAAACUGACCAGAGAAACGUUCGAGUGGCAUCCGGACAAACUGCUCUGCAAGAGGUUCAACGUGCCCCACCCCUACCCCGGGUCGAGCAUGGUGGGACUGCCCAAAGUGAAGAGAGACAAGUUUUCAGUCUUCAACUUCCUGACUGUGACGGAGAGCAGAGAACCUUCAGCUCCUCCAAAGCCUCCGGGGGCUGGGAAGAGGUCUCGGUGGGACGUUUCAGACCAGGAGGGGGAGAAGAAGAACGACCCCCUUAGUGAGCUGCUCAGCGCUGCACGAAACCAAAGCGAGGUCAAACUGGAACAAACCUCCGUACCUGCUUUACCUGCGUCCACCAGCACCGACGAUCAGACCCCACCCGGCAGAGCGGAGGAGACAAAGUCAGCAGGUCGGCCGAGCUCAGACGAGAAGAAAGGAGGUGACGAAGACCAGGAGGAGGAGGAGGAGGAGGAAGAGGAGGAGAGCCGGCCUCACAUGGAUCUGUUCAAAGCCAUCUUCGCCGGCUCCUCUGAUGAGAAAUCCUCCUCUUCAUCCGAAGGAGAGAGCGACGAUGAGGAGGCCGUGAAGGAGGAGGAGCUCAAAGUCGAGCCGCAGCCGCUGAAUCUCUUCAACAUCACCUCCUCCGCCGUCACCUCCUCCACCACCACCGCGUCCGGCCAGCAGGCGGCGGCGGUUUCAUCUCAGAACUCGACUCAAGAACAAGAAGAAGAAGAGUUUGGUCCGAAGCUGCCGCCUCCUUCAGCUGCUCUCAUGAGAGGAGGCGCCACCUCCGCCUGCUCCCCCCGUGAGGAGGAGAAACUCAACAAGAGGAGCAGAGAGAAGAAACACAAGAACAAGAAGCAGCACAAACACAAGAAGGAGAAGAAGAAGAAGAAACAUAAGAAGCACAAACACAAAGGGAAACAGCAGAAGAAAAGUAAGAAGGAGGCGUCGGACAGCAGCUCAGAGGACAGUGAUGAGGACAGCGACGGCGAACGCGUGUCGACAGAGGAGCUGCUGAAAAGGUUCUGUGAAGCAGGAUUAUGAAUUCAGUCAGCUCCUCAUUCAGACCUUUAAUCUGAAGGAUACAUGAACAGCAGGAAGUGGGACACAAAGCCGAGAGAGUUUAUUACCAGCGUUAUUAUUUUUACUCAAGACUGAAAAAGGUCCAAUCCCAUCAGACCUGGUGAGGAACCAGGAAGUGUGUCCUCUGUGAGGACGAACAACCCGAAAAUCACACAACAGAGUUGACCUCCGGUCUUCUUUAAUUUUACACAACAGACAACCUGUUGUUUUGUUCAUUUAAAUAAUAAAAUGUCCCUCGUUUAACGUU
Molecule: RNA transcript, 3221 nt
Organism: Micropterus dolomieu (smallmouth bass)
Lineage: Eukaryota; Metazoa; Chordata; Actinopteri; Centrarchiformes; Centrarchidae
Gene: gpatch1
Gene name: G patch domain containing 1
Exons: 21
Source: RefSeq, a predicted model, not a curated record